This 346-nucleotide unclassified non-coding RNA is filed under the name fungal sp. RNAcentral describes it as "partial internal transcribed spacer region". The stretch from base 1 to 46 matches the Rfam family "Eukaryotic small subunit ribosomal RNA", at positions 1786 to 1831 of the family's 1831-position model. The record is from RNAcentral. Lineage: Eukaryota; Fungi.
AAGUCGUAACAAGGUUUCCGUAGGUGAACCUGCGGAAGGAUCAUUAACAAUAAUAUUAUAUUAUAAUUUAUACCGAGGAAAUAUAACCGUUAGGUUAUAUUUGCUUGGAAUAAAUUAGAUAUUAAUCAAUGAUAUCCACCCUUUCAAAUGUGAAACUUGUUUAAACGUAGUUUAUGACUUUCUGGUUAGGUGUUUUGAAUCUUUUGAGGUUUGAAACGAUAAAUUGCCUACCAGAAGUUUUUCUGUUUAAAACUAACUUUGCUAAAUUAUUUGUUGAAUUAAUCAAUCAUUCUUUUAUGGAUGAAUAAACUUAAUACAACUUGCAACAAUGGAUCUCUUGGCUCUU